Molecule: ribosomal RNA, 750 nt
Filed under: uncultured bacterium
Lineage: Bacteria
Description: bacterial SSU rRNA
Rfam family: Bacterial small subunit ribosomal RNA
Source: RNAcentral
AUUGAACGCUGGCGGCAGGCUUAACACAUGCAAGUCGAACGAUGAAGAUAUAGCUUGCUAUAUCGGAUUAGUGGCGGACGGGUGAGUAACACUUAGGAAUCUACCUUUUAGCGGGGGAUAGCUCGGGGAAACUCGAAUUAAUACCGCAUAAUUUCUACGGAAUAAAGAGGGCUUUUAGCUCUCACUAGAAGAUGAGCCUAAGUAAGAUUAGCUAGUUGGUGGGGUAAAAGCCUACCAAGGCGACGAUCUUUAGCUGGUCUGAGAGGAUGAUCAGCCACACUGGGACUGAGACACGGCCCAGACUCCUACGGGAGGCAGCAGUGGGGAAUAUGGGACAAUGGGGGCAACCCUGAUCCAGCCAUGCCGCGUGUGUGAAGAAGGCCUUUUGGUUGUAAAGCACUUUAAGCAGUGAAGAAGACCUAUUGGUUAAUACCCAAUAGCGAUGACAUUAACUGCAGAAUAAGCACCGGCUAACUCUGUGCCAGCAGCCGCGGUAAUACAGAGGGUGCAAGCGUUAAUCGGAAUUACUGGGCGUAAAGCGAGCGUAGGUGGUUAAAUAAGUCAGAUGUGAAAGCCCUGGGCUCAACCUAGGAACGGCAUCUGAAACUAUUUAACUAGAGUAGGUGAGAGGGAAGUAGAAUUUCAGGUGUAGCGGUGAAAUGCGUAGAGAUCUGAAGGAAUACCGAUGGCGAAGGCAGCUUCCUGGCAUCAUACUGACACUGAGGCUCGAAAGCGUGGGUAGCAAACAGG